CCUACGGGUGGCAGCAGUCGAGAAUCAUGCACAAUGGGGGAAACCCUGAUGGGGCGACGCCGCGUGGGGGAAUGAAGGUCUGCGGAUUGUAAACCCCUGUCAUGUGGGAGCAAAUUAAAAAGAUAGUACCACAAGAGGAAGAGACGGCUAACUCUGUGCCAGCAGCCGCGGGAAUACAGAGGUCUCAAGCGUUGUUCGGAAUCACUGGGCGUAAAGCGUGCGGAGGCUGUUUCGUAAGUCGUGUGUGAAAGGCGCGGGCUCAACCCGCGGACGGCACAUGAUACUGGGAGACUAGAGUAAUGGAGGGGGAACCGGAAGUCUCGGUGUAGCAGUGAAAUGCGUAGAUAUCGCGAGGAACACUCGUGGCGAAGGCGGGUUCCUGGACAUUAACUGACGCUGAGGCACGAAGGCCAGGGGAGCGAAAGGGAUUAGAUACCCCAGUAGUC
This 446-nucleotide ribosomal RNA is filed under the name uncultured bacterium. RNAcentral's name for it is "partial 16S ribosomal RNA". It matches the Rfam family "Bacterial small subunit ribosomal RNA", at positions 338 to 795 of the family's 1533-position model. The record is from RNAcentral.